Molecule: unclassified non-coding RNA, 538 nt
Filed under: Mycoplasmoides gallisepticum
Lineage: Bacteria; Bacillati; Mycoplasmatota; Mycoplasmoidales; Mycoplasmoidaceae
Description: Mycoplasma gallisepticum partial contains 16S-23S ribosomal RNA intergenic spacer and 23S ribosomal RNA
Source: RNAcentral
GGGGUAUUUUAAAAGCAGUUAUUAAGUUUUUUUCUUUAAAGCUUUUGAACUUAAUAACACUUUAAGUUAACCUUGUAAACAUUAUUAAGUUUACCUUUCAAAGAUCAAAGAACAAUUAUUAAAACCUUUUUGAUCAGAUAACUAAUAAACUAACUAACUAAAUCAUUGAUGCAUAAUUAACUGCAUCAAUGAUUUUUUUUAUUAUUUUUACUGCAAAAAAUGCAGAUUUAUCUGUUCAAACCAAUGAUUUAAAAAGGCUUUUUUUAUUAUUAAUCAUUCGUUAUUUUUUUACUUGUGAUUUUAGCUUUAAUGCUUAUAAAAAAAUCCAAUGAUAAAAGUUUUUUUAGAAAAGUGUUGUGCAAACUGAUUUGUUGUGCUAUAAUCUUUAAGGCUUAUAUAGCUACAUUGUUCUUUGAAAACUGAAUACGACAAAUCUUUCUAGUCCGAAAUUUGAUUAAAGUAUCAAAUCAAAUUUCAUAUAAUAUAGAUUCAAUAAAAAUAGCUAAUGGAUCAAAUACAUAAGUUACUAAGGGCUUAU